RNAcentral lists this ribosomal RNA (449 nucleotides) under uncultured bacterium. RNAcentral's name for it is "partial 16S ribosomal RNA". It matches the Rfam family "Bacterial small subunit ribosomal RNA", at positions 354 to 796 of the family's 1533-position model. The record is from RNAcentral.
GUCGAGAAUCAUUCACAAUGGGGGAAACCCUGAUGGUGUGACGCCGCGUGGAGGAUGAAGGUCUUCGGAUUGUAAACUCCUGUCAUGUGGGAGUAAAGCCGGGUGUUAAAUGCAUGCCGGUCUGAGAGUACCACAAGAGGAAGGGACGGCUAACUCUGUGCCAGCAGCCGCGGUAAUACAGAGGUCCCAAGCGUUGUUCGGAAUCACUGGGCGUAAAGGGUGCGUAGGCGGCGCGGAAAGUCAGGGGUGAAAUCCCGGAGCUCAACUCCGGAACUGCCUUUGAUACUCCCGCGCUUGAGAACUGGAGGGGAGACCGGAAUUCUCGGUGUAGCAGUGAAAUGCGUGGAUAUCGAGAGGAACACUCGUGGCGAAGGCGAGUCACUGGACAACAUCUGACGCUGAGGCUCGAAGGCCAGGGGAGCAAAAGGGAUUAGAAACCCCUGUAGUCC